This 1229-nucleotide long non-coding RNA is filed under the name Apteryx haastii (Great spotted kiwi). RNAcentral describes it as "lncRNA (ENSAHAG00000003139.1)". The record is from RNAcentral. Lineage: Eukaryota; Metazoa; Chordata; Aves; Apterygiformes; Apterygidae.
AUGAAUAUUGCCAGAGUUGGCACCAUUGAUGUGGAUGCUUUUGAAGGACUGUACUUUCUGUUAAUAUCCAUACUAAACAUGCCUCCCACAGCUCAGGAUGGUUGUUACACCUUCUUUUCAAACGGUUCUUAUAACUAUGGUCCCUCUGUUGAUAAAGAGCAUUUCAAACUUUGUUUGUGUGUGUGUUUUUGUUUUUUUGAAACAAACAAAAAAACCACUCCAGAUAAAAUUAAGGAAUCUUGUCUUGUAAUGCACCUACCAUGUUUUUCAUUUGCAAUGAGAAAGCCUUAGGGUCAGCUUUGAAUAUGUGUUUAUUAUAUCUCUUUUCAUGACCUUGCUUAUUUUCUUGAUUGCAUGCAUGAGAAGAUGCAUGUAUGUUUGAUACUUUUGGCAGCCUGUUCGAUCAGCCACCUUUGAUAGCUUAUGAGUCAUGCAUGGGUCCCAGACCACAGUCUGAAAAAGGCUGAUCCAGUUCAGUUAUACACAGAAGUAGGAUGAGUAACAAAACCCCUGCUUAGGGCAUAGGAUUGAGGAGACAGAGCUGAAUUCAUAACUGAAUUUCCUGAUAUUUGACAUAGACACCAGGAAACUGAUUUACCAUUAUGUGAGUCUUUACAGCAAUUUUGGCAGCUUUUUCAAAUGAUUUUCCUUUGUGCAGCCAGAAUGGUGGAUGGGGCCAAAAUGUAGAUGCAAAUCAGAUUCCCCAGCCUCAGUACUGCAUUAGGAGAGCUUUUGGGCAACUGCAAUACCUUGCUUUCUUGUUCUGAUGGUACUAGUAUACAGUUUGGUUUUGUUAUAUUUCUACUUGGUGGUCAGGACUAUAGGAAGCAGCCCAAUACUUAGAACUGAAUGUUGACAAACCAAAAUACCUAUUUCACGCACUGCUCCAGCAAAAACCUGCCCACUCAUUGCUAAACCAUUGCUGCUCUUAUUGGCUAGAGCUGCUGGUAGGCUGCCCUGUUAUGGGUAAACAUGUAAAACGUGAAAAGAGAAAAGACUGCAAUGUGCCAAAUCCCUAACAUAGAUCAAAAUUUGAUUUCCUACUCCAAUGUGAAAGCAGUUGUUUUUUCACGGUUUUGGAAGCAGGAUAUUUGUAGUUUGGUGAACUGCUACUACAUGGAAGGGAAUAUGCUUUCCCACUAUGAUUUUGAUGUACUUUAAAGUGCUUUCUUGAGUAAUCUGAGGCUUUGCCAGAUUGAAACUCAAUAAACAUUCUUUUUAAAAGGACA